Molecule: long non-coding RNA, 6422 nt
Organism: Ruditapes philippinarum (Manila clam)
Lineage: Eukaryota; Metazoa; Mollusca; Bivalvia; Venerida; Veneridae
Exons: 3
Source: RefSeq, a predicted model, not a curated record
CAGGGACAAUGAAGUCAAUAUUUAAUAUUCUUGUUCCCAUCUAGUCAGCCAUAUUGUAACGUGAAUGUGCAGUAAACUAUAUGAAUCGGCGUUAGACGUUUUUUUCCCGCCAAGAUUAAAAUACGUUUGCGCCACAUAUAUGUUUGUUUGUUCUCGUCUUUGAACGAAAAAGAAAACAGACCAUUUCUAGGGACAUAAAUCCUAUAUAAGGUGGCGAAUUUAGUUUCAGUAUGUUACAUUUGCAUAAAUCUUUCAUCGGAUAUUUAAUUUCUUCAAAUUAUUCCUUAUGAAAUCGUUUACAUGCAUUAAAAUAUAAAUUGAUCUCUAAUAUCAGUCAGUUUGUUUGCUUUACCUCUUUUCAGUCAUUUAACGUAACAAGGGAAAUAUAUUAUUUCAGUAAUAAUGAAGGUUUAAAGUGAAAUAGGUGAAUUAUAUGACAAGUAAGUUUAUAUAAACACUCCGGUCAUUUUGAAUCACAAUGCUCACCAGAUUCUGAUUUAUGGAUAUGUAAGUCAUGAAUAUAUUUUCCAUAAGACCAAUAUUUUUGUCAAUUAUGUAUAUUUUUAUUCGUCGUGAUGAUCCUGUCUAAGUGCUAGAAUGGACAGUGGUGGAAAUUUCCAUAUUUUAUUUCAAGAUUUAUUCUUUCUCUAAUUGUAAGUAACAUGAUAAAUUUUAAACUAGCGCUAUUUAUAAAAGGAUACACUGACACCGUUGUGUGUGUAUCAAAUAUAAUGUUUUUCUGCAUUUCGUGCAAAUGUAAGAAUUCUGGCCAUAUGUCUGUACAUUCCUUCUGUGUUCGCAGAUUAAUAGCCUUAACAGCGGAGAUGUUUAAGAUAAAAACACAAUCCACACCAAAUAUUCGCCUUAAUGUUAAAAGGUUUUUAAUUUUAUGAGAUAAGGAGUAGGGAAAACAAGUGUUGAAUGUAUCAAUAAUAUGUUGUUUGUUACAUAAAAAUGCAUUUAAAUGAAUUGUUUGAAUAGUUUAUGCAUAGGAAAUUCAGUGUACAACUUACAGGUCUGAAGUUAACCGUUAAAUAUUAUCCGGAGAAAAAUACUUUUCCGUACGUUAGUUUUACGAAAGAUAAAAAGCUUUACGGUUACUCACAUUUCCGAACUCUUUGAAUUCUAUGUUUAAGGGAAUAGGGAUAACAGUAUCGAAUUUUAAAUAAAGAGCUCCAAAAGGUAUAGAGCUCCGCCAAACUGCAUUAAUGAAUAGGAUCUUACAGCUCUAUUCUAGAUGUAAAAUCCCAGAACGUUUGGUUUCUAUUAGGAUAGAUGUUGAGCAACAAAGAUGUCACAAACAUUGGUGGUUUUACAAAACAUGUCCUGACUUUAUAAUACUGCACGUUUGUAACGUCGUUUUUACAUUAAUUCGCGAAAUUUUGAUCAAGCUGUUAUAUAUAUACGUGUGAUUUAAAAUUAUCAAGCACUGCCGUUAUUACAUUGAUACCUUAUGUGAAAAGUAUUGGAUAUUGUGUACAAAGGUCUUGAAACUGGAAUAGUUGUUCAGUAUAUUUAUAUUUUUAGCUGUAAUGAACCUCAUCUUCAGACGGUAUCAGCAUGAAAAACGUAACACGAAACAACAUCAUAAAUACAUUUAAUAACUCAACAUGUGGGGUAUUUACCUUUUUUUUGAAUACAUUCAAUUUUAUUCAUUGCUAUGCAUUGGAGGAAAAAUGCUAAAACAUCCUUGAUGAUAAAUCUAAACAUAUUUUUCGGCUAUAACUAGUUGUAAAUGCCGUGCGGAGGCUAUUAAAAGCGAUCUCGUGUAUACAAUCAGAGAUAUUAUAUUUUUGGUCAUUAAAAUUCUUCGAGCAUGACUUUAUUGUUAUUUGUCUGGUAAUUUAAUUUGUUCUGUUUUAUAUUAUAGUUUACUUGUAGGGUCGUUCCAAUAUUCCGAUGUAAAUACUGUAUUUAUAAUCAUUAAAUUAUUUUGUUUCCCAUUUGUGUCCUAUUUUUGGGCUAUAUGUGAUGUGCAGGUUUCAUAAUCUCUAAUUCGGUAUCAAAGUUUUCGCUUAUUUAGUUCUGUCCCUUGUUCAUGUGUUGGACGAUGCGCCGCUUAUUAUGGAAACAUUUAAAGGUCCUUGAUUACCGCCGCGGAUGUUUUUAAAUACUAAUUUACAUCAUUUUCAUGUUUAAAUUUUGAAUUCUGCUUGAGCCGGUGCAAGAGGGUGUGGAUGGUAGCUUGCACUUAUCAAUGUCAGUGAAAAAUAUGACUCAUUUUUCAAAAAGUCCUUUUUUAAUAUAUUCAUCCGCAAAGUAUAAAUUGAUAAACGAAUAGAGAAUGCGUACUGUCACUUUACGUUUCAAGUAGUAUACACAUAUGGUACGUUUUAUAUAUAAAAUUGAUAAAAUCAGGAACUGUGAGCGGUAUGAAUAUGUCUGUUAAUCUUGCUUGUAUUAUAGAAACCCAUCUGGCCAUGGAUAUGUAGAUUGGGAAUACUGUUUUGCAUUCCGGAUCUCAUCCCGACUGGUGGCGUAUAUUUUGAAGUGCGAAAGAAAAAUGGCACAGUUGUUAAUAUAAGAAACGCGUGCUUCUAUGAUGUUGAAGGUGGAUUUUCCAAUUUAUACAAAGGCUUUACAGUGGGAUUAAUUGUUCUCCGAGCUUUUUCCUUAGUAUUUCUGUUGUUUAGCAACUGUCCAUAACAGUGUGCUAGAGCAAAACAAGGAAGAUCUGUGGGGAAACACUGUUGCCCCAGCUACCGUUCCUCCAGUUUUUAACCGGUCUGAACCAGUUACUACGAAUACAGCACACGCUUUAGGUGCAACUAAUAUAACUGUUACAGGCAAUGAAGCUUAACUGAAAGUAAAGAUACAACGACUAGAAGCGAGGUUAGCUGAACUCCGAGCAAGAGAGGCUGCAAACAUACAACGAUUCAGUGUUGUACCGCCUCCUCUAUUUUACAGCGAACUGAUGACUUCUGGUCAAAUUAAUAACAACAGAGCGAGCCCUGUCUACACUAUUAAUGAAAUUGAAAACUUUCAAUAAGCUGUUGAUGACAUCUGAUGCAAAUACCGGUAUUUCAAAUGAACAAUUUUGCAAACAGACAACAGAUUGGACGGUCAUUCCAAAAACAUGUUUUUAAAUAACAUCUUUUAUAUAUCUGCUUCCAAGUUUUAUUGAAAUUUUGUUUACUUUUGAACACCUUGUUGUAUCUUAUAAACUAUUUUGUAAUACUUGUUUAACAUGUUUGCAGUAAGUAAACAAUUUUUUAUGUAAAAGGUAUGGAACACAAUGUACAUGUAUAAGGAAUCUUAAUAUCAUGUUCACAUAUCAUAUGACAUAUAAUAUACUAAGUUUGACCGCAAUCAUUCAGCACAUACUUUACUGUAACAUAGAAAUGUUUAAAAAAUUAUUUUAAGGUUCCCUUUUAUACCUAUUUUGUUUCUGUUAUUAUACUAAUUUGCUAAAUUCUAAGUUCUGUCUAAAACUUGUUUAUUCAUUGUUUUCCUUUACCUGCAAAUAGGGGGUUUAGCAUAAUGAAAAAUAAAACCUGGUCGCUUUUCAAAACUCCAUUUUAUUUAUUAAGGCCCAUUGUGUUCUCAGUUAGGGCACAAUACUUCUUUAACUUUGGGACCAUACGCCGCUUUUUAUUGCAUGGUACAAAAGUGUCUCAUUGAAGGUUUCAUUAUAAGUGCCGUAUGAACAAAUCUGCGGAUGUUUCAUAAAUCUAAAUUUCAACAUUUUUAUGUUUGUAAAUGUUGAAUUGUGCUAGGGAACGUGGACGGUAUCUUGUAUUUUCUAUUUCCCUCCAUGAUCAGGCUCAAACAAACCGAGUCUGCAACAUUUUUCUUUUCAAUUUUGUCGUUUUUGGACGCUCUUUAGAGAUUUUUUUCUCUAGAUAUUUUAUUUGCACUUAUAUUUGCGCUAUGAAUAAUUGGAGUAAUUAUUUCAGUAUGACACUUGCUAUCUCUUUUUGUUUCUUUAAGGGUGUAUGUUAAUUGCGCAGGUUACUGAACAAAAAACUUGUUAACUGUUCGCAUUAAUAUAAAUUAACCAAACGUGUUUAUAUUGUAUAAGGUCAUAUGGCGACUUCAGAGGAUUGUCUCGGUGCCUUUUCAAUCCUCAUUUCAGGAACGAUCGCUCUUCUAAGAAGGUCAAUAAAUCAAAGUAUUAAUUUCGUACAUUUUGCAUUUCCUGCAUAUAAAAAUGGAUACGGAAUACUUUUUAUGCUUUCCGAAGGGAGAGCAUAUAGUCGCCACCUUGUCCAUAUGUCCGUCCGUUCGUCUGUCCGUCCGUCCGUUGUCUUUUCUUGUCCGGAGCAUAACUUGAAAACCCUUGGAGAUAAUUUGUUCAAACUUCAUACAGUGGUAGAGGGCAUUGAGGUCGGGGGGGGGGGGGUGCAGUGUCAAAGAACCAUAGCUCUAUUUUGCCCGGUUUUUGAAUUAUCUCCCCUUAUAGAAAAAUCUUGUCCGGGACAUAACUCUAAAACUAUAAGAGAAAUCAACAUGAAACUUUGUAGGUGAAUAGAUCUCAAUGAGUAGAUGUGCAGUGCACAAGAACCAUAACUCUAUUCUGUCCGAUUUUUAAUUAUCUCCCCUUUUAGAAAAAGCUUGUCCGGGACAUAACUCUUAAACUAUAAGAGAUAUCAACAUGAAACUUGUAGGUAAAUAUAUCUUAACUGGUAGAUGUGCAGUGCACAAGAACCAUAACUCUAUUCUGCCUGGUUUUUGAAUUAUCUCCCCUUUUAGAAAAAUCUUGUCCGGGACAUAACUCUUAAACUAUAAGAGAUAUCAACAUGAAACUUUGUUGGUAAAUAGGUCUCAAUGGGUAGAUGUGCAGAGCACAAUUACCAUAACUCUUUUUUUGCCUAAUUUUGGAGUUAUUGCUCUUUGUUAAUUUUAAUACUUUGAACUUUGACCGGAACAUAACUCUAAAACUAUAAGAGAUAUCAAGAUGAAACAUUGUUAGUAGAUAGAUCUCAUUGAGUAGAAGUGCAGUGCAAAAGAACCAUAACUCUGUUAAGCCUCAUUUUUUAAUAAUCUCCCGUUUUAGAAAAAUCUUGUCUAGGACAUAGCUGUAAAACUAUAAGAGAUAUCAACAUGAAACUUUGUAGGUAGAUAUACCUCAAUAGGUAAAUGUGCAGUGCACAAGAAUCAUAACUCUGCCUUGCCUAAUUUUGGAGUUAUUGCCCUUUGUUUAUUUUUACUUUUUAAACUUUGUCUGGGACAUUACUCUAAAAUUAUAAGAGAUAUCAUCAUGAAACUUUGUAGGUAGAUAGAUCUCUUUGAGUAAAAGAGCAUUACAAAAAAAUAUAUCUCUGUUUUGUCUAAUUUUGAAUUAUCUCCCCUUUUAAAAAAAUCUUGUCCGGGAAAUAACUCUAAAACUACAAGAGAUAUCAACAUGAAGCUAUGUAGGGUGAUGGAUCUCAAUGGGUAGAUGUGCAGUGCACAAGAACUUGAACUCCGCCUUUCCAAAUUCUUUGUUCAUUUUUACGUUUUGAACUUUGUCCGCGACAUAACUCGGAAACCAUAAGAGGUAUCAACACGAAACUUUGUAGGUUGAUAGAUCACAUUGAUUAGAAGUGCAGUGCAAAGUACAGUAACUCUGCCUUGCCUAAUUUUGGAAUUAUUGCACUUUGAACUUUUUCCAGGGACAUAACUCUGAAACUACAAGAGGUGAACUUUCCUGUGUCCAAAACCUAUUCGGGGAGCAUCACCCGGCUCUUAUUGCUCUUUAGUUUUAUUUGAAUGCUCUUACAAUAUAGUAUUUUACAACUAUGUUUUCGUAUAAAUGUAUUACAAUAUUAUAAAGUGUAGUGUUGAAAUAAGCUUUAACGAUAUUAGAACAUUACUGUAUUCUUAUCUUUGAAGACUUGUGUCAAGUUUGAGAUAGAUGUCCAAUUUUAUCAAAUAUUAAAAACAUUUUGAAAUGAUCACGUAACAUGAAAGUUCUUUAUUUAUAUACAGUAAUUGCAUGCAUUCUAGUCAAGUGUGGGAUAUCAGUUGGUACAUGUUGUGAAAAUGGGUGGAUAACAUUCGGAGAAUCUUGCUAUCUUUUUGACGAUGAACAUCAACUUAACUGGAUAGAAGCAACGCAAACUUGUGCAUCUUAUGGUGGUUCGCAUUUGGUGACAAUUGAAAACCCAGAUGAGUUUUCAUUCCUUCAGAAUCAUAGCAAAAGAUUGUUUAAAAAACGGUUAAGUAUAUUAUUCAAUGACUAACACAAUCAAUGUAUCAAGAAUUAAACACACUAAAAUGAUAGAUAAGUAAGACAACGGUUCGAACAUUGUUUGGCGCUGACUGGACAGUCACUAUGAUGGUUAGGAAGUCACGCGUGGUGUGUGUAUCAUUUCUUAGGCCAAAUAUCAUAUGUUACUUCUUAACCGGGAGAUAUCAAUUCUUGUCUGUAUUGUUAAUGACUUUAUUCAGUGUUUAAUCAGUUAUAUUGAUAGAUUCGGUGUUAUGUAUAUCUAGUUGAA